This 520-nucleotide ribosomal RNA is filed under the name uncultured Glomus. Its description in RNAcentral is "SSU rRNA". It matches the Rfam family "Eukaryotic small subunit ribosomal RNA", at positions 569 to 1088 of the family's 1831-position model. Lineage: Eukaryota; Fungi; Glomeromycota; Glomeromycetes; Glomerales; Glomeraceae. The record is from RNAcentral.
AGCAGCCGCGGUAAUUCCAGCUCCAAUAGCGUAUAUUAAAGUUGUUGCAGUUAAAAAGCUCGUAGUUGAAUUUCGGGGUUAGUAGGUUGGUCGUGCCACUGGUACGUACUGGUCUCACUGACUCCUCCUUCCUGAUGAACUGUAAUGCCAUUAAUUUGGUGUUGCGGGGAAACUGGACUGUUACUUUGAAAAAAUUAGAGUGUUUAAAGCAAGCUAACGCUUGAAUACAUUAGCAUGGAAUAAUGAAAUAGGACGUUCGAUCCUAUUUUGUUGGUUUCUAGGAUUGACGUAAUGAUUAAUAGGGAUAGUUGGGGGCAUUAGUAUUCAAUUGUCAGAGGUGAAAUUCUUGGAUUUAUUGAAGACUAACUACUGCGAAAGCAUUUGCCAAGGAUGUUUUCAUUAAUCAAGAACGAAAGUUAGGGAUCGAAGACGAUCAGAUACCGUCGUAGUCUUAACCAUAAACUAUGCCGACUAGGGAUCGGGAUGAUGUUUAAUUUUUAAUGUACUNUAUUCGGCGUCC